This 1502-nucleotide ribosomal RNA is filed under the name Dilobocondyla fouqueti. Its description in RNAcentral is "partial 28S ribosomal RNA". It matches the Rfam family "Eukaryotic large subunit ribosomal RNA", at positions 364 to 1413 of the family's 3401-position model. The record is from RNAcentral. Lineage: Eukaryota; Metazoa; Arthropoda; Insecta; Hymenoptera; Formicidae.
UUGAAAAGAACUUUGAAGAGAGAGUUCAAGAGUACGUGAAACCGUUCAGGGGUAAACCUAAGAAACCCAAAAGAUCGAACGGGGAGAUUCAUCGUCAGCGACGCUGGCUUCGCGUCGGUGGGCGAUGUCCCGCGGUGCCUCGCGGCACUUGCGCGGACACGCCGCCGUGCGUCGAUGUCCGGCGUUCGUCGUCGUGCACUUCUCCCCUAGUAGAACGUCGCGACCCGCUGGGUGUCGGUCUACGGCCCGGGUGCGGUGUCUGACGCGUCGCCGGUAAAACGGCGCGCCGUCAAACCCCCGGUCGCCCGGCCGGCUGCCCGGCGGUACACGCAUGGUAUCAGGCCGCAUCUCUCUCUCUUACGGUUUCGCGCGUAAAAAACGCAAAACUGGAACGAUCGAGUGUGCGUCGAGGCCGUCGCAAGCGCGCGCCACGGUACACGGAGGUUAACGGACCUAGAGCCGUCACCGGUCCUGGCCCGCUGUUGGUCGUACGGGGGAGAAAUCCCAAUUCCUUCGACAGGCCUGCUAACGUCCCCCUCCCCACGUCCCCCACCGUGGGGACGCGCGGGAGAUUCGGGGACCGAUACCGGUCGGCGACGCUACUGCUUUGGGUACUCUUAGGACCCGUCUUGAAACACGGACCAAGGAGUCUAACAUGUACGCGAGUCAUUGGGACUUAGCGGAUACCUAAAGGCGUAAUGAAAGUGAAGGUCGUCCCUGGUUGUCGACCGAGGGAGGAUGGGCCGCGUUUCGCACGCGGCUCCGCACUCCCGGGGCGUCUCGUUCUCAUUGCGAGAAGAGGCGCACCCAGAGCGUACACGUUGGGACCCGAAAGAUGGUGAACUAUGCCUGGUCAGGACGAAGUCAGGGGAAACCCUGAUGGAGGUCCGUAGCGAUUCUGACGUGCAAAUCGAUCGUCGGAACUGGGUAUAGGGGCGAAAGACUAAUCGAACCAUCUAGUAGCUGGUUCCCUCCGAAGUUUCCCUCAGGAUAGCUGGCACUCGGCCGUUCCGCACGGAACGCGCGCGAGUCUCAUCUGGUAAAGCGAAUGAUUAGAGGCCUUGGGGCCGAAACGACCUCAACCUAUUCUCAAACUUUAAAUGGGUGAGAUCUCUGGCUUUCUUGAACUAUGAAGCCACGAGCAUCUCGGAUCAGAGUGCCAAGUGGGCCAUUUUUGGUAAGCAGAACUGGCGCUGUGGGAUGAACCAAACGCAGAGUUAAGGCGCCCAACUCGACGCUCAUGGGACACCAUGAAAGGCGUUGGUUGCUUAAGACAGCAGGACGGUGGCCAUGGAAGUCGGAAUCCGCUAAGGAGUGUGUAACAACUCACCUGCCGAAGCAACUAGCCCUGAAAAUGGAUGGCGCUGAAGCGUCGAGCCUAUACUCUGCCGUCAGCGGCAAGUGGGGCGGCCGUGACGCGCGGGCUUAAACGUACCGACGUUACGCGCCGCCACGAAGCUCUGACGAGUAGGAGGGUCGCGGCGGUGUGCGCAGAAGGGUCU